This 208-nucleotide unclassified non-coding RNA is filed under the name Hevea brasiliensis (rubber tree). Lineage: Eukaryota; Viridiplantae; Streptophyta; Magnoliopsida; Malpighiales; Euphorbiaceae. The record is from RNAcentral.
GGAUCAGCCAUUACUUCAAGCUCCUGUUACAAUAUUCAUCAAAUAGAUACAUGAAUAAAUAAAAGUAAAUAAACAAUGCUUAAUCCUAACCAAAUUAUUCAAUUUUUUUAAUUCUAUAAAUAAAGUUUCAUUUUUUUCCUUUUUUAAUUCUUCUCACUUAAAAAUCUUUCAACAGUUAAAAUCUCUAUAUAAACAGUUCUCAAAUUGC